This 483-nucleotide ribosomal RNA is filed under the name uncultured bacterium. RNAcentral describes it as "bacterial SSU rRNA". It matches the Rfam family "Bacterial small subunit ribosomal RNA", at positions 328 to 802 of the family's 1533-position model. The record is from RNAcentral.
AUGAAACACUCCUACGGGAGGCAGCAGUAGGGAAUCUUCGGCAAUGGACGGAAGUCUGACCGAGCAACGCCGGGUGAGUGAAGAAGGUUUUCGGAUCGUAAAGCUCUGUUGUAAGAGAAGAACGAGUGUGAGAGUGGAAAGUUCACACUGUGACGGUAUCUUACCAGAAAGGGACGGCUAACUACGUGCCAGCAGCCGCGGUAAUACGUAGGUCCCGAGCGUUGUCCGGAUUUAUUGGGCGUAAAGCGAGCGCAGGCGGUUAGAUAAGUCUGAAGUUAAAGGCUGUGGCUUAACCAUAGUAGGCUUUGGAAACUGUUUAACUUGAGUGCAAGAGGGGAGAGCGGAAUUCCAUGUGUAGCGGUGAAAUGCGUAGAUAUAUGGAGGAACACCAGUGGCGAAAGCGGCUCUCUGGCUUGUAACUGACGCUGAGGCUCGAAAGCGUGGGGAGCAAACAGGAUUAGAAACCCCAGUAGUCCGAAGUUC